This 659-nucleotide ribosomal RNA is filed under the name uncultured marine eukaryote. RNAcentral's name for it is "bacterial SSU rRNA". It matches the Rfam family "Eukaryotic small subunit ribosomal RNA", at positions 618 to 1277 of the family's 1831-position model. The record is from RNAcentral.
GUUAAAAAGCUCGUAGUUGGAUUUCUGGUGGGAGCGCCCGGUCCUGACCUAACGAUUUGUGUACUGGCGGCGCCUUUCGCCAUCCUUGGGGAGAGCGUGUUGAGCAUUAAGCUGUUUGGCAUGGGAUCCUCAUCAUUUACUGUGAAAAAGUUAGAGUGUUUAAAGCAGGCAAUUGCUGUGAAUACAUUAGCAUGGAAUAAUAAGAUAGGACUUUGGUGCUAUUUUGUUGGUUUGCACACCGAGGUAAUGAUUAACAGGGACAGUUGGGGGUAUUCGUAUUUAAUUGUCAGAGGUGAAAUUCUUGGAUUUAUGAAAGACGAACUACUGCGAAAGCAUUUACCAAGGAUGUUUUCAUUAAUCAAGAACGAAAGUUAGGGGAUCGAAGAUGAUUAGAUACCAUCGUAGUCUUAACCAUAAACUAUGCCGACUAGGGAUUGGCAGACGUUAUUUGAUGACUCUGUCAGCACCUUAUGAGAAAUCAAAGUCUUUGGGUUCCGGGGGGAGUAUGGUCGCAAGGCUGAAACUUAAAGGAAUUGACGGAAGGGCACCCACCAGGAGUGGAGCCUGCGGCUUAAUUUGACUCACCACGGGAAAACUUACCAGGUCCAGACAUAGUAAGGAUUGACCGAUUGAGAGCUCUUUCUUGAUUCUAUGGGUGU